AGGUGUGAGGGCAUGGGUGAGGUGCCUCUGCCCAACGGCCCUCAGAGGCUGCAGCUGUGCCCAGACCCGUGGGUGGCUCUGCCUCAGACCAGCCCUGAGGCCUUGCUGUGAGUUGCACUGGAUGGGGCUUCUGCUCGAUGCCUCACUCAUUGGGGAACAGAUUCCUACCAUGUUUACUGAGCUAUCGGAAGCACAAAUAGACCUUAGUGUUAUGAUAUAAACCUGCUAGAAAUACUGAGAAACAACACAGACCUGGCCACAAUGUAUGAAGAAAUGCAGCUUUGGUAGAUGCUCUCCACAAAAAACAGCUAUUCAUACAAAAUAUGCACUGGAAACAACGUGAACCAGCUGUGAAUAUUAAUGACAACGAUGGCUUCCCAGGGUACUCCUGACCAAAGCCUACAUGCUAACAUCAUUGAGUUGGAUAAAGAAAAAUUUCCCAGGGAGAUGCAAGCCUAGAUUUUCACAUAUCUCAAGUUGAAUAAAUGUUGUCUUUGGGCUCUGAACCACCAGCUGUAUAGGGCAGAAAGGUCGGUCCCUCACAUCGCAGAGUGAAAGUUCUUUACACUGAAUAGCAACGCAGCUCCUGAGUCUCUGCUGUUUGAAUGGAACCGCCUGGAUGGUCAGUGGUAUG
Cygnus olor (mute swan) is the source of this 634-nucleotide long non-coding RNA. RefSeq lists it as uncharacterized. Lineage: Eukaryota; Metazoa; Chordata; Aves; Anseriformes; Anatidae. The record is from RefSeq and is a predicted model, not a curated record. The transcript has 5 exons.